CUCACUUGUGACUCUGGGCUAGAUGCUUAAACUGCCUCAGUGUCCUCCUCUGUCGAAUGGGGGGGUAAUGACAGGAUCUCUCUCCAUGGGCAGCCGUGAAGAUUUAGAUGAAUCCAAACAUGCGCAGCAUCUAGAGCUUGGCACAUGCUCCCCAGGUCCUGGGCGAGUCCUACCACGGAAGACCAAGAACUUGGAAGCCUCCCCAUCCGCAGGCAGGGGCACUGCCAGCAAGCCACAGGUGGGCACCGCAUGAGCAGGAUGCAAGCUGAGAGCCAUCCUAGCCUGUCGUCCCAAGUGACACGCUGCCCACAGUUGCAGCAAGGCCCUUGCACUCCUGCAACCCUACUCCGGCCUCACCCGCAGGCAUGGUGACAAAGCCCACCGAGCCCCCAGAGGAUGUACAUCUGGAGAGCCCAGCUCUGCAGAGGGCCCGGGGGGCCUGGGGGGGCCCAGUCGGCUGCUCAGCUCACCAUCCAGGGUCCCCGGGGAGCCCGAUGCGCAGGGACCUGCUCCUCCCUCUCCCUCUGGCCUUCUCUCCACUCAUGCUCUAGGUCUCUGUCUCCCUCUCUCAAAUAAAUAAAUAAAAUCUUAAAAAAAAAAAAAAAGCCCAGACGGC
Nyctereutes procyonoides (raccoon dog) is the source of this 616-nucleotide long non-coding RNA. RefSeq lists it as uncharacterized. The transcript has 3 exons. NCBI's taxonomy places the organism in Eukaryota, Metazoa, Chordata, Mammalia, Carnivora, Canidae. The record is from RefSeq and is a predicted model, not a curated record.